RNAcentral lists this ribosomal RNA (498 nucleotides) under uncultured bacterium. Its description in RNAcentral is "partial 16S ribosomal RNA". It matches the Rfam family "Bacterial small subunit ribosomal RNA", at positions 30 to 523 of the family's 1533-position model. The record is from RNAcentral.
AUUGAACGCUGGCGGCAUGCCUUACACAUGCAAGUCGAACGGUAACAGGUCUUCGGAUGCUGACGAGUGGCGAACGGGUGAGUAAUACAUCGGAACGUGCCUAGUAGUGGGGGAUAACUACUCGAAAGAGUGGCUAAUACCGCAUGAGAUCUACGGAUGAAAGCAGGGGAUCGCAAGACCUUGUGCUACUAGAGCGGCCGAUGGCAGAUUAGGUAUUUGGUGGGAUAAAAGCUUACCAAGCCGACGAUCUGUAGCUGGUCUGAGAGGACGAUCAGCCACACUGGGACUGGGAAACGGCCCAGACUCCUACGGGAGGCAGCAGUGGGGAAUUUUGGACAAUGGGCGCAAGCCUGAUCCAGCAAUGCCGCGUGCAGGAUGAAGGCCUUCGGGUUGUAAACUGCUUUUGUACGGAACGAAAAGCCCCGGGUUAAUACCCUGGGGUCAUGACGGUACCGUAAGAAUAAGCACCGGCUAACUACGUGCCAGCCGCCGCGGUAA